This is a long non-coding RNA of Macaca fascicularis (crab-eating macaque), 2503 nucleotides long. The record is from Ensembl. Lineage: Eukaryota; Metazoa; Chordata; Mammalia; Primates; Cercopithecidae.
AUGGCAUUCUGGGGAGUGAUCACCCCGGGUCCUGAUGCACUAACUGAUACCUCCAUUCCCUUUCCUAAUGGGAGUCAUCUCGAGCCCACAAUGACAGCUUGUGACUUUGCAUUGAGGCUUGUUUAUUUAUUAUUUCAGGUUCAGCCAAAAAUCCAGCCCCUCUCAAAGGACAAAGAUUCAACCCUCCAGAACAGUUCACAAACACUUCUCAGAGUCCUGCGUGCUGUGCAGAUGGUAAACAUCUCCGGGAGUCUCGCCAACACUCCAGAAUGGACUAAGACAUCCUCCCUGGGGAAAGCCCCCAUCUCAGCCCCCCUGUUUCUCUGCUUCAUCACCCAGCACCCACUGGAAUGUCAGCUCCACCCCGGCAGGACCUUCUUUGUUCCCCCCACUGGACAGGCCUGGCUGUGAGUAUGGUGGGAUCUGCGCAUGGGCCUGCUGGCUGACAGCCUGUCCUUCUCUGUGCUGGUGAAAAAGAGGGUUUGUUUCUUAUUUCCAGCUUUCUAAAACGUAUUUUUAGAAUUACAAACAUCAGAAACACAGUUCCUAUCUGUAGGGCUGCAGUGGGCCAGAGUAAGAUGGAGCCAGGGAGAGAGGAGAACACAGCCUGGCUUACCUCCCGGUGUGGGGUACAGAGCCAGGCCCUGCCGUGCCAGCUGUGCCUCCUCCCAACCCAAGCAAGCAGGCAGCCCAGCCUCGGUGAGGGGAUCCAGGCUCUGGUCUGUCUUGCUGUGUGGUGUUGGCCACAGGUUCCCCUCUCUAGACCUCUGAGGUUAGAGUCGGCCAGUGGGUCCCUGUGGGGCUGGCUCACUGCCUUGGAAAACAGCCAGGAAGGCAGAUUUCCAGGCCCCACCUGAGACCUAGGGAAUCAGCCCCGGGGAGCAGGUGGAGAUGAAACCCGCAUUUAAACUAGCCUCUUUAGUGGUUCUCAGGUGGCUGCGGGGACUGUGGGUUGAGACCGUCUCCAAGGAUAGAUUCAGGAAGAUCCAACUCAGUUUUGCUUUUAAGUCUCAGCUCAGCCCCCUCCUGGCUGCAUAGACCCAUGAGCCUUCUUGCCUCAGGUUUGUCAUCUGUGAACCGGGCUGGGGAGGAUUCUAGGGGCCGGUCCACGCACAGAGAGGACUUCACACCGAGCCGGCAGGACGCAGAGAUAGUGCCCGCCCUGCUGUUCUAGGGCAAGAUGCUCUGGCUCUCUGCCCAUUGCUGUCCACACCUUCGCAGGAAGUGGAUGAUACAUGUUAAUUUAAUUAAUCAGCUGAAAUCCUGAAGGCUUCCUAAGGGCAUCUUUUCAACUGUCUGGAUGGGUCGGGGAAAUCCCGGCCCCACAGCAGGGCUCCUGGGCCCAGCUAGCAAAGGUCCCAAAUAGCUGCGGAAGACCUAGGAAGAGGUCAGGUGGCUUUAUGGCCAGGAGCUGGGGCCUGAGCUGUCGGUUUGAGGCUUGGCACUGACAAGUCAAAAUUCUGCCCGACUGGUCGCUUUCUUGCUAUGAAUAAACAUUUGCCGUCAUCUGAAUUAAUCUCCAGCCUCUCAGCCACUCAGUGGGAGUGACUCCUCCUUGCCAGGGGGUGCCCUCUGGGCCUCAGAGGGUGAAGGACCUGGGACCUCUUGUGAACAGCGCAUUCAAUCCCACAGUUGCCACCACGGUGUGUGAGUUUCUUGCAUUGCCAUUAGUUGGGAGCAUUUAGUUUCCCAGGGCUACCAUUCGGGUGAGCUGUGUGGGCUCCUGGCAGGCUGGGUGCCAUUCAGAACCCACUUCGCCUUUGAGGGGGUCAUGAAGACCGAGGAGGCUUGGCCCAGAUUGUAAAAGGACCAGAAACUCAAUGGGGAGUGAUAUAAAUAGACACAUGGCAGAGUGCUUCUUGGAAGCCAAAGGUGUGAGUGCUGUUAGAUUCUGGACCACAGAAAGGCCAAGGUGCACAGGCGGCAGCCCCACCUUUGUUCCUUCCUGCAAAGCCUGAGUACGAGCUACCAUGGGGCUCACGGCAGGAGAGGCGGGGGGCAGAUUAGCUUUGUGCUCCCACAUCCUCAGAGACACAGGAGACUAGAGUCGGGAAAGCCAAAGCACUAAUUGAACUGAAACUUGGGGGAGGAUUUUGGGACAUCCUCCUGCCUUGGCACUUUGGGAGGCAGAGGCGGGAGGAUUGCUUGAGGCCAGGAGGUCGAGGCCAGGAAGUCAAGACCAGCCUAGGCAAAUUAGUGAGACAUAGUGAGCCCCUGUCUCUACAAAAACAAUUAAGGAAUUAGCUGGUGUGGUGGCAUGCACCCAAAGUCCUAGGAGGCUGAGGUGGAAGGAUCACUUGAGCCCAGGAGUUCGAGGUUACAGUGGACUAUGACUGUACCACUGCACUCCAGCCUGGGUGGCAGAGCAAGAUCCCGUUUCUAAAAAAAUAAAUAAAUAAAAGAAAAAGGAUAAGUAAGUCGUCCUCAGAGGAAAGGAGAUGGCAGGGAGGGCAGCCGGCUCUUUCAGGCAGGUACAGCGGUGUUAACAGGGGACAGAAAAGCA